This 875-nucleotide long non-coding RNA is filed under the name Numida meleagris (helmeted guineafowl). RNAcentral's name for it is "lncRNA (ENSNMEG00000002416.1)". The record is from RNAcentral. Lineage: Eukaryota; Metazoa; Chordata; Aves; Galliformes; Numididae.
AAGGUGGGGAGAUGCCACCAUCAGCAGCCUUGGAGGUGCCACCAAUGCCCUGGAGACGCCACCGCCAAGGUGGGGAGAUGCCACCACCACUGGAAAUGCCACCAAUGCCCUGGAGAUGCCACUACCAGCCCUGGAGAUGUCACCACCAAGGUGAGGAGAUGCCACCACCAAUGGAAAUGCCACCAGUGCCCUGGAGGUACCACUGCCAGCCCUGGGGAUGCCACCACCAAGGUGGGGAGAUGCCACCACCACUGGAAAUGCCACCAGUGCCCUGGCGAUGUCACCACCACUGGAGAUACUACUACCAACCAGACCUGGGGAUGCCACCACCAAGGUGGGGAGAUGCCACCACUAGCAGCUUUGGAGGUGCCACCAAUGCCCUGGAGAUGCCACUACCAGCCCUGGAGAUGUCACCACCACUGGAGAUGUCACCACCAGCAGCCCUGGAGAUGCCAUCAGUCCUGGAGAUGCCACCAGCACUGGAGAUACCACUACCACCCAGCCCUGGAGGUGCCACCAGCCCUGGAGACGUCACCACCAAGGUGGGGAGAUGCCACUAUCAGCCCUGGAGAUGUCACCACCAAGGUGGGGAGAUGCCACUAUCAGCCCUGGAGAUGUCACCACCAGGGCAGGGAGAUGUCACCACCACUGGAGAUGCCACCACCACUGGAGAUACCGCUACCAACCACACCUGGAGAUGCCACCACCAGGGUGGGGAGAUGCCACCAUCAUCCCAGGAGAUGCCACCACCGGUCCUGGAGAUGCCACCAGUGCAGUGAAAUGGCCCCAUCACAAGCCCUGGAGAUGCCACCACCAGCUCACGUCCCCCCCGUGUCAUUGUCCCCUUCCUCCUGGCGCUGCCCGGACCCCCCCUC